GAAGGAUUUGUAUAAAAUAGAAGAUUUCUAAUCUUAAUUAUUGAGAAAUUUACAGUUUUUCAUCCUUUA
RNAcentral lists this transfer RNA (69 nucleotides) under Bipalium adventitium. RNAcentral describes it as "tRNA-Ser". Lineage: Eukaryota; Metazoa; Platyhelminthes; Tricladida; Geoplanidae. The record is from RNAcentral.